Molecule: RNA transcript, 1485 nt
Organism: Ziziphus jujuba (common jujube)
Lineage: Eukaryota; Viridiplantae; Streptophyta; Magnoliopsida; Rosales; Rhamnaceae
Gene name: homogentisate solanesyltransferase, chloroplastic
Exons: 10
Source: RefSeq, a predicted model, not a curated record
AAAACGGCGUGUCGUUGAUUAUCCCGGUUCUACCUCCAACAAAGAAAUGAAGAACUGAAGCACUGUUUUGUUUGCCUCCGAAUUUAGUGUCGUAGUCCCUAUCCGACUUCCUCGUUUAACAGCCACCACAACAAAGUUUUACUCCUGUUUUUCCCUCCGGCAUGGAGCUCUCAUUCUCUCCCUCCACUUCCCUUGGAUUUCCAACUACAAUCCCCCCUUGCAGAGCUUCCUCUCAUCAUCAAACUAAGCUACCCAUUAAGCCCCCAAUCAAAUCCUCCUUUUCUUUCUCUAAAUUCUCCACCUCCCACCCAGUUGGUUUCUACAGUUACAGGCAAAGUUGCUCAGUUCCUCCUCUGUCAAAUAGCCACCGGAGGAACAAUUUCAUCCGGGCAUGCACUCAAGUGGGAGCUGCUGGAUCUGAUCCACUACUGAACAAAGUUUCAAAUCUUAAAGAUGCUUUCUGGAGAUUUUUAAGGCCCCAUACGAUACGCGGAACAGCUCUGGGAUCAUUUGCUUUGGUGGCAAGAGCAUUGAUUGAGAACUCAAAUUUGAUAAAGUGGUCUCUGCUGUUUAAGGCAUUCUCUGGUCUCUUUGCUCUAAUAUGUGGCAAUGGUUAUAUUGUUGGCAUCAAUCAGAUUUACGAUAUCGGAAUUGACAAGGUAAAUAAACCUUAUUUACCUAUAGCUGCAGGGGAUCUCUCAGUUAAAUCGGCAUGGUUCUUGGUGAUAUUUUUUGCAGUGACUGGCCUGUUGAUUGUUGGACUAAAUUUUGGGCCAUUUAUUACUUCUCUCUAUACUCUUGGUCUCUUACUUGGUACCAUCUAUUCUGUUCCUCCCUUUAGAAUGAAGAGAUUUCCUGUUGCUGCGUUUCUUAUAAUUGCUACGGUACGGGGAUUCCUUCUCAACUUUGGUGUAUAUUAUGCGACGAGAGCUGCCCUUGGUCUUGCAUUUGAGUGGAGUGCACCAGUGGCUUUUAUUACUACUUUUGUGACAUUGUUUGCUCUGGUGAUUGCUAUAACAAAAGAUCUUCCAGAUGUUGAGGGAGACCGCAAGUUUCAGAUAUCAACUUUUGCAACAAAACUUGGAGUUAGGAAUAUCGCAUUCCUUGGCUCUGGCCUUCUGCUGCUAAAUUAUAUUGCCUCUAUAGCAGCGUCAAUCUACUUGCCUCAGUUUAUUACUUGCAGGCUUUCAGGCGCAACUUAAUGAUACCCACUCAUACAAUCUUGGCAUUGAGCUUGGUUUUCCAGGCUUGGGUAUUGGAACAGGCAAAUUACACCCAGGAAGCAAUAGCAGCCUUCUAUAGAUUUAUAUGGAAUCUCUUUUAUGCCGAGUAUAUUAUAUUCCCUUUCAUCUAGCAAAUUUAUUUUUCAUUUUCCUGAUCCUAUACUAUUGAGAGAAAGAGAGGAAUAUCCAAAUUUGUACUGCAUGAAUUGUAAAUAUUGGCCUAGCAGUUUAUCUGUAAAAUGUAUCCAGAAGCAGUUUAACA